RNAcentral lists this long non-coding RNA (1499 nucleotides) under Anas platyrhynchos platyrhynchos (common mallard). Its description in RNAcentral is "lncRNA (ENSAPLG00000024233.1)". The record is from RNAcentral. Lineage: Eukaryota; Metazoa; Chordata; Aves; Anseriformes; Anatidae.
UGGCUAUACCCAAAUUUUCUGUAGAACUGAUGCAAUAUGGAUUCAAUCAUAGUAGCCUCUGCAGGAGAAAUUUUUUUUUUCUCCUUAGCCCAGACAGCUCCAGGUUUAAGAACGUUCAUUGGGAGGGAAGGCUAAAGGGGUUAAGGAAAUAAGACGCAAUAGAGGUGACCUAUGAGAACUUUCAUUAUUAUAUGGAGCCUUGAUGAGUGAAAUGAGAGGGACUGCUCUCCAUCAUGAAAGGCUGAAAUGUCGAGGGAGCAAUCGCAAAUUAAUCUAUUAAGAAUAAGUAGGAGGUUGAACAGUGUGACUCAAAAGGAUGGAAAUAUAUGGAAUAAACUGCAGCAUAAAGUCAUGAUGAUUUUUAAAUGCAUCCUUAAAGACACCCGCCUACGAUUUUUCCAAUGAAGCAGGGAUUUUUUUCUGUAUAUCUAUAUAUGAGACAAAGUUUAAGCAGACAAAAUGGGCCUCUUUCUAUUCAGCUACUCCCAAGAUUUGUGAUGACCUGGCCUGGAUGAGAAGUUCUCUUCUGAUUUGUGUGGCUUUAACCAGAACAAUGUGCCAGGGAUUUUUCUUUUUUAAAAGACACUCCAAUAAAAUGCUUCACAGGCGGUUUUCUCUGUGGUGAUUUUCCUGUUUUGCUGUGACAUUUUUAACUUGAAUUUAGCGUUUGUAAAAGGUGCUAUUUGACAGCAUUGUGUAACUGAAAGCCUCUUAUUAUUGACAGAUCAUGCACAGUCAAGGCUGGGGAAAUUUCUCCGUGUCAGCCUGGUGAGGGACAGCCCUGCAGCCUGAGGAGACCAGCUUCCAGGAGGAAAAAUGAUGCUCAAGCUGUCACUUGCUGUAUUCAAAUGUAUCAGUAUCUUGUUUCAGGUAAGUAGCCUAAGACCCAGUGGAUUGAACUUAAAUGGCAUUAGAACUUCUCGUUCAGCAGACUACAUCAGACACUUAAAUCUAUUCAGAAAAGCAGAGAAGCUUUAGCAAGUGAUAAAAUGAAGCUUGCGCUCCUGUAGCAAGAAACUUUCCUGAAGUGGGCCUGAUAAAUUAUCUUUUCAUGUGUUGUACCCUUGUGUCAAACCUUGAAUUUUGCACACAGUGUUACAUCAUUUCCAGGAUAGGAAGAUGACUUUUUAAUCCCUUUUUAAUUCUGUAUCUGGAAAAUGGCUUUAUUAACCUCUAGCUACUAAGCAAUAAUAUAUCUGCUGUGCUCUGUGGUCCUGCUUACUUUCUGUUGCUCUCCUGGAAAAGUGUAAUAACCUCUGAAGAAACUCAACGUAUAGACAGACCAACGGAAGACCAGUUUUAACUAUUAAUCUAAUAGUUUUCAGACACCUGUAUUUAAAUAACUGCUUCUGCUCUGCUCCUCAUAAGUUAGUUCGAACACAGCAUGUGAUAUAAAAAAAUGCAGAUACCUUUAUCAAAAUUUCCAUCUACAAGAAUACUCCCCAUCCAGACAGCUGUCUUUCUCCCAGCUCUGAACACCACGGCCGUUCACAUCUGUA